Molecule: ribosomal RNA, 306 nt
Filed under: uncultured bacterium
Lineage: Bacteria
Description: bacterial SSU rRNA
Rfam family: Bacterial small subunit ribosomal RNA
Source: RNAcentral
AGAUAAUAGAUACCCGGGUAGUCCACGCCCUAAACUAUGAUAACUGGCUUUCCGGAGUAUCGACCCUCUGGGAGGCGAAAGCUAAACGCGUUAAGUUAUCCGCCUGGGUAGUACGGCCGCAAGGCUAAAACCUCAAACGGAAUAGACGGGGGGUCUUGCACAAGCGGUGGAGCGUGUGGCUUAAUUCGUCGCUAAGCGAAGAACCUUACCAGGGCUAGAAAUCCUACUGCACGUCUAGCGAAACGCUAGAAACGCCUUCGAGGGUUGUAGGACAGGUGAUGCAUGGCUGUCGUCAGUUCGUGGUUU